CUCCAAUUUCUCUCUCUACUUUGUAAUCAGGUUUUCUCCAAUUAGGGCCUAAACUUUACAUGGUAUCAGAGCAUUGAUCAAGAUCUUCAUUUAUGGCGACAAAUCCAGAAGCUGAAAUUGAAGAAUCGACUGAUAGUCCUACACCGAAAGCUGAUCACGAUGAAGAUCUGUUGCUUGCAACUCAUCGACUGAUAUUGGAUCUCUCGAGCCCUUACUACAUGCACUAUGUAGAUAACACAGGUAUGCAGAUUGUUUCAGUUGUUCUCUCUAAUGAGAAUUAUUCAACCUAAAGUUGUGCUGUGGAAAUGGCAUUAAGUGUGAAAAAUAAGGAAGGUUUUAUUGAUGGUUCGAUAGUGAAACCCUCCAUAAAUUUACCUUUGUAUGCUGCCUGGCGUAGAUGCAAUCAUAUUGUUUCAUCAUGGAUUAUUAGUUCAAUUCCUAAGGAACUAUAUCCUAAUGUUAUGCAUAAGGACUCAGCAUGUGAGAUCUGGCUCAAAUUGAAAGAUAGGUAUAGUCAGGGCAAUGGACCUAGAAUUUACCAAUUGAAGAAGCUAAUUGCUUCAAUUUCACAAGGGUAUGGAUCUGUAAGUGCCUAUUUUAAUAGGCUGAAGGGCUUAUGAGAAGAGUUGUCGAACUAUAGGCCACAAAAUCAUAAUUCUUAUCAUGAAGAAGAACAAAUACUGCAAUUUUUAAUGGGACUGGAUGAGUGUUAUUCCAAAGUGAGAAGUCAGAUUUUACUAAUGGAGCCUUUGCCUCCACUAAACAAAGUGUUUACCUUAGUUUUGUAGGAUGAAAAAUAGAGAGAUGUGGCAUCAAGGAGUCAGAUUAAUGUGGAAACCAGUGCAUUCGUUAGUAGAUUGAUGCGUAAUCCAAUGAGCACUGGAGGUAACCGAAGAACAGCAAAUAUGAAUCAAAAUUACAGGAAGGAUAGACCUAAGUAUAGUUACUAUGGGAUGCUUGGACAUAUACAGGGAAAGUGCUACAAACUCCAUGGAUAUCCUCCAGGACAUAGGUUGGCAAAGGAGAAAGGAAAAUGAUAUAUUUCCAGUGCUAAUCAAGUGAUGGGAACUGCUACCUCCUCUGAUCUGUCAGGUGCAUUCUCAAACCUGACAUUUACUCCAGAACAAUGCCAGCAAGUUCUCAACAUGCUGAAACCGCAAAUUCACGUUCAGCUCUCAAAUUUGAUUACUCAAUCUGGUAAUACUGAAAACCAGAGUCAAACAAACCUUGCAUUGCCAGAUGUUUCACAUUCUCGGGUAAUAACUUAUGUCUAGCAGUCUCAAUUAUAAGGCAUAAGUGGAUAAUUGAUAUUGGGGUAACAGACCACAUGGUGAGUUGUAUUGAUCAUCUAUCCACUAUCACUGCUAGAGUAAGUGUAAGUGUCAAACUUCCAAAUGGAGAUGAGGCUCAUGUGACUCACAUAGGAACUGUAAAGCUGUCUGAAAGGUUAUUAUUAACCAAUGUGUUAUGCAUUCCCUUUUUUACAAUGUAAUCUAAUCUCUUCCAUUCCCUUUAUUUUCUAUCUCUUCUUUACCAUGGUUUGCUCACAUUGUGAACUACUUGGCUGCAGGUGAAAUCCCAAAGGAGUAGAGUACAAAGGAUAAGAGGAAGUUUUUGGUUCAGGUACGUAAUUUUUAUUGGGAUGACCCAGGUUUGUUUAAGUACUGCCCGACCAAAUAUCAAGACGUUGUGUCCCCAAUGAAGAAAUACCAAGCAUACUUAGUUUCUGUCAUACUCAAGCAUGUGGUGGCCACUUCUCUAUAAAAAAGACUGCUGCAAAAAUUCUACAAUGUGGUUUUUAUUGUCCUACCUUAUUCAAAGACACUAAUACCUAUUGUAGAACCUGUGAAAGAUGUCAAAAGUUAGGUGCCAUGUCUUGACGUAAUAUGAUGCCUUUAAACCCCAUUUUAGUGAUAGAAGUGUUUGAUUGUUGGGGAAUUGACUUUAUGGGCCCCUUUCCACCUUCUUUUGGUUAUCUCUACAUUAUUGUGGCGGUGGAUUAUGUGUCUAAAUGGGUAAAGGUGGUCGCUUGUAGAGCUAUGACAAUAAAACGGUUAUUAAAUUCCUCAAAGAAAAUGUCUUGUCUAGGUUUGGUACACCACGUGUCAUUAUUAGUGACAGAGGCACAUUGUAACCGUUCAUUCGAAGCACUAAUGAAAAAAUAUGGAGUUAUUCAUAAAAUCUCUACUGCUUACCACCCCCAAACUAGUGGACAGGUAGAAUUGGCUAAUAGGGAAAUUAAACAAAUUUUGAAAAAAACGGUGAAUCCGAAUCAUAAAGAUUGGUCUUUAAGAUUAAAUGAUGCACUUUGGGCUUACCGUACUGCUUUUAAGACUUCCCUAGGCAUGUCACCAUAUAGACUUAUUUUUGGAAAGCCUUGCCAUUUACCUGUGGAGCUUGAACACCGAGCAUAUUGGGCUAUUAAACAUUUUAAUUUCGACCUAGAGGAGGGAGGUAAGCUUAGGAAAUUUCAAUUGGCUGAGUUAGAAGAGUUGAGAAAUGAGGCCUAUGAGAGUUCUAGAAUCUACAAGGAAAAAAUGAAAGCUUUUCAUGAUAAAAACAUUUUGAGAAAAACUUUUGAACCAAAUCAAAAAGUAUACUUGUAUGAUUCUAGACUCCACAAGCAUCCUGGAAAACUUCGUUCUAGGUGGACUGGUCCCUUUGUGGUAUUACGAGUCUUUGAAAAUGGAGCGGUUAAAAUUGAGGAUCCUAAUGAUGGUAGAGUGUUCAAAGUGAAUGGACAGCGUCUCAAAAUAGCUUUUGGGCAAUCGGUGCCUGCAGUGGAAGAAAUUCUCCUUGCAGACCCUGUUUACCACCCUUAGCUUCACUCAGGUUCAUCCUUCACUUUAUUUUUCUGUAUAUUAGUUUUAGAUUUUUCUUUUUAGUAUGAUUUGCAUUCAUUUUUUUUUUUUGGUUUAUUUUUUACUCCUUGCAUUAUCCAUCCAUUGAGUUCUUUCAGGUUUCUCAUCCUUCGAACUUAAGUUAAUUCACUGCAGUACUCAGGUGGUACCUUUCCCCUUCUUUAUUUUUGGAGACAUGUUUAUGCAUUGAGGACAAUGUAACUUUUAGUUGGGGGGAGGAUACAUUUUGUUUGUGAAUUGCAUUGCAUGAUAAAUUGUGUGAUCAUGAAAUUGUGAAAAAGUUUACAUUUUUGCCUGGACUUCUGAGUUGCUGCAUGUUUAUGCCUAUGUGCUUGAGUGACAAAAUAUGCCACUAGGAGUUGGUUGUGUUUAUGAGAAUCUGGAUAUCAGGACACUUGCUAUAUUUCAAUUUGUGCACACAAGCCUUGUGGUAAGAUAGUGGUUUAACACAUGUAGUUAGAGGAAUCUCCUGCUAGAGCCUUCUUUAGAGAGAAUUGGUGAGGAUUGAGAGUUAUCACAUAUUAAAAAUGUAAUAAGUGUUCAUUGAUUGUGUGAAUUGGAAACUUUUUCUGAGAAUGACAUUACACGAUAUGUGGUAAGACGGUGGUUUGUACUUGAGAAAUGAUAACAGUCAAUUUAGGAUUGAAUUUGAGCCUUCAGACUAGUUCUUUUCCAUAAUUAUAAUCCCCUAGAGCCACUUUGAGCCAAUACACAUACAUAA
This 3582-nucleotide long non-coding RNA is filed under the name Olea europaea subsp. europaea. Lineage: Eukaryota; Viridiplantae; Streptophyta; Magnoliopsida; Lamiales; Oleaceae. The record is from RNAcentral.